This 253-nucleotide ribosomal RNA is filed under the name uncultured bacterium. RNAcentral describes it as "partial 16S ribosomal RNA". It matches the Rfam family "Bacterial small subunit ribosomal RNA", at positions 524 to 776 of the family's 1533-position model. The record is from RNAcentral.
GACGAACCGUGCGAACGUUGUUCGGAAUCACUGGGCUUAAAGGGCGCGUAGGCGGGCGGCCGCGUCCGGGGUGAAAUGCCACGGCUCAACCGUGGAACGGCCUCGGAUACGGGCGGCCUCGAGGGGGGUAGGGGCAUCUGGAACUGUGAGUGGAGCGGUGAAAUGCGUUGAUAUUCACAGGAACUCCGGUGGCGAAGGCGAGGUGCUGGACCCCUUCUGACGCUGAGGCGCGAAAGCCAGGGGAGCGAACGGG